RNAcentral lists this non-coding RNA (86 nucleotides) under Pseudomonas tolaasii NCPPB 2192. Lineage: Bacteria; Pseudomonadati; Pseudomonadota; Gammaproteobacteria; Pseudomonadales; Pseudomonadaceae. The record is from RNAcentral.
UGUAGGAGCUGGCUUGCCUGCGAUGCAGGCACCUCGGUCUUCAGCUUGAUUGAGGUGAUGCCAUCGCAGGCAAGCCAGCUCCCACA